UACCAGCACCCCGAGUGGUCGGGACGUUUAUUGGGCCUAAAGCAUCCGUAGCCGGUUCUACAAGUCUUCCGUUAAAUCCACCUGCUUAACAGAUGGGCUGCGGAAGAUACUAUAGAGCUAGGAGGCGGGAGAGGCAAGCGGUACUCGAUGGGUAGGGGUAAAAUCCGUUGAUCCAUUGAAGACCACCAGUGGCGAAGGCGGCUUGCCAGAACGCGCUCGACGGUGAGGGAUGAAAGCUAGGGGAGCGAAUGGG
This 253-nucleotide ribosomal RNA is filed under the name uncultured bacterium. RNAcentral describes it as "partial 16S ribosomal RNA". It matches the Rfam family "Archaeal small subunit ribosomal RNA", at positions 474 to 727 of the family's 1478-position model. The record is from RNAcentral.